This 273-nucleotide ribosomal RNA is filed under the name uncultured bacterium. RNAcentral describes it as "partial 16S ribosomal RNA". It matches the Rfam family "Bacterial small subunit ribosomal RNA", at positions 524 to 796 of the family's 1533-position model. The record is from RNAcentral.
UACGGAGGGAGCGAGCGUUAAUCGGAAUUACUGGGCGUAAAGCGCGCGUAGGCGGCUUUGUAAGUCGGAUGUGAAAGCCCUGGGCUCAACCUGGGAAUGGCAUUCGAUACUGCAGAGCUAGAGUAUGGGAGAGGGAAGUGGAAUUUCCGGUGUAGCGGUGAAAUGCGUAGAUAUCGGAAGGAACACCAGUGGCGAAGGCGACUUCCUGGCCCAAUACUGACGCUCAGGUGCGAAAGCGUGGGUAGCGAACAGGAUUAGAUACCCUGGUAGUCC